GCCAAAAAAACCAAAAAAUGGAAGACGACGGAUUCACCCUGGUCACUGGUAGAAAAGCCGGAAAACAGUCGGCGAAAUUUGUCAGUUUUCUCCAAAAAACAAAUUAUCGAUUUUUUACAAAUUUAAAUUUCAGAAAAAAACAGAAAAUGGAAAGCAUAUUCGAGUUGAUGGAACACUGGAAAGUAUCGAAAAAGCUAUGGAAUUGGCGAAAAAUGGGAUUCUGAAAAGCGGAUUGGG
This 237-nucleotide small RNA is filed under the name Caenorhabditis elegans. RNAcentral describes it as "Unclassified non-coding RNA Y55F3BL.7". The record is from RNAcentral. Lineage: Eukaryota; Metazoa; Nematoda; Chromadorea; Rhabditida; Rhabditidae.